Long non-coding RNA from Eucalyptus grandis, 2292 nucleotides. RefSeq lists it as uncharacterized. Lineage: Eukaryota; Viridiplantae; Streptophyta; Magnoliopsida; Myrtales; Myrtaceae. The transcript is spliced from 3 exons. The record is from RefSeq and is a predicted model, not a curated record.
AGGAGCUUCAUCAAUGAAAGGAUAAUGCAGGCUAUCGCAGAUAAGAGCUGAAGCCAAUACAGAAUCUUGCUGAUAUUUCUGGAAAGGAAAACCCACCCUGCAUAAGGUACAAUGGGAACUUCUGAAGAAAUCCAAAUCCAGAGCUGAUGGGGCUCAACAUAUCCUCCACGGAUUCAAUUAGAUCUCUAGAGCUUGAUCUCAGUCCUCGGAAGCUGCUAAUUCCAGCAUCAGCUAUUGACCAUGUGGAUUGGCGUUGCCAUUCUAGCUCGUGACUCCCGUUUAAUAUUCUAGCUCCUUCAAUUCAUAGAAUGAUGGUGAUGAACCAGAAGUCGGUUUUGUCUGGGGUAUUGGCAAAGCCUCCCAGGAUUACAACCGUUGCCUAGAUGAAACCAAGGGUUCCCGGGCCAGUGGCUGUGUUUUCGAGAACAGCAAGGCGAAGAGCAAACAAUGUCAGCUUUUUGUCAGGGCCAGAACAGCUGGCAGAGCAGGGAAACAGAGUUUUUUCUGUUUCUUUCUCUCAUACCAGCACUAGUUUUUGGCUCAAAAAUUGUCGCGGGUGAAAUGAUGGUAUCAUUUUUCUUCUGAAGCGGAGGAAUAUCCAGAUGAAUGCUGCUUCGACCUUCAGUGGAGUUCUUCACCUUCAUUUUGCAGUCUGGAGUCGCUCAAAAUUGGAUGGCUCUUUAUAUGUCGAAUCGGCUGAGGAAAACUUAUACUUAGUGGUGUUCAAUAGAACCUGAAUUCAAUUUCCAAAAUUUCUGUUUAUGAAUUUCCUGGAAUGGGAUGAGAAAGAGCAGGUUAAGCCGUUUCUAUUGCCAACUUUUCUGGAAGUUCUCUCGUUCUUGGACUAAAUUCCAAUAUCGUUGGCUUGCUUACAUCUAAAGUUCCAUCGAUGAGCUUUCUUGACUGCCUGUUGAAGAUCUUGUACUCUCCUUCCGCAUACCGCCAUUUGCUGCUCAGCAACUGCUUUGGCUUGUAAUCAACAAUAAACUAUGCAAGAGAGAAAAUGAGUUCAAGGUAAAUCAGCUCCGCUUAGAUGUGUACUUAAAACUCUUUGAUAUUAUGCAAUGAAUGAUCUGGCUUCUUGAGUUGUACAUUGCCCUGCGCAGCUCCUUCUAAGGCAUCGGCGCCAACCUCAUCAAAAGGAAGAUCAGUCAUGGAGUCGAACCUUUCAAGGUCUCCUUCUUUUUCGGGUCUCUCUGUGCACGAGGGUCAUUGUACUAUUGCAAGUCAUCAUCAUUCGGUCCUGUCUGGAAAUCGCCACAUUACUUGCAGCAGUUCUUUACGUCAGAAUCUGUCAACCUGUUUUGCAUCCGCAUGUUCAUGCAUUGAGUAAUAUUGUAAUCUCUCGCAUGACAGGUGCAUUCUCGGGUUUCCGCAGCCGCUUGCUUGCUUGCAACUCGACUAUUCUUGCAGUGUCAUGGAAAGAGCAGUUUGGCAUUUUAGUCUGUAGCUUGCUGGAGAUGUCGUUACUUGCAAAAAUUCGAAAACCUUUGAAACGUUUAUCUAAGGUUAUGGCAAUUUCUAUUGACCUCGGUAUCUUUUAAUAUGCAACUAAGGUUAUGGCAGGUGUUGCAGCUACCGUCGCUUGCGCGCGCAUAAUAAAGUAAUUAUGCAUAGAAAGAAAAUGAAUGUGCAUGCAUAGUAGGUGAGCUGAAGAGAGAGGAAGUAGGGACAAUUCUGAAAAUUUAAUAGUGAGGGAAAAAAAGGGAGUGGUCAACUGAAGCGUGAAAGAAUGGAAGGGGGUAAUCUAUGUGUAUGUAUCUGUGUGUGUGUCUAUAUAUAUAAUUUAUUUUGUAAUUUCUUGUGCAGAGUCAACAGUUUCAAUUGACUUUCGUUCUUUCCGUUUCCUUCCUUCCCCUCCACCAUUUCUUGCUUUUCCAUCUUCGCAACUCACAGCGACUGAUCUCGCUCACCGUCGAGACGCUGAAUCCUCGCUUGUCUCAGCUCCAAAACUCCCUGAUGUGCAUCACAAGAAUGUCGGUUCGCGUAGAUUACGAUCUUAGUUUCAUUCGCUUUUGUUUUAUGGAGUCAGCUGUUCAACUGCGAGUUCCCAUUUUUCUUUGGUUCUUCGGUUCUCAUCCUAUUUAACGGGUUUCGGAGAAGCGUUAGUGCAGAUAAUUUAUGGGUUCAUUGCAAGAUGUCCUUCUAAAGACGUCACAAAGCGUUUGAAAUUACGGAAUUACUGCACUGGAUUAUGCCGUCUUAAGUCUUCGAGUAGCAGCUAAGUUGAAAAAGAUUUGGAAGGGGAAAUCCGGUCUUUUAAUAGCAGAAGUAGGGAGCUCAGAAUCAGGG